GACGAACGCUGUCGGCGUGCUUAACACAUGCAAGUCGAACGGAAAGGCCCUGCUUUUGUGGGGUGCUCGAGUGGCGAACAGGUGAGUAACACGUGAGUAACCUGCCCUUGACUUUGGGAUAACUUCAGGAAACUGGGGCUAAUACCGGAUAGGAGCUCCUGCUGCAUGGUGGGGGUUGGAAAGUUUCGGCGGUUGGGGAUGGACUCGCGGCUUAUCAGCUUGUUGGUGGGGUAGUGGCUUACCAAGGCUUUGACGGGUAGCCGGCCUGAGAGGGUGACCGGCCACAUUGGGACUGAGAUACGGCCCAGACUCCUACGGGAGGCAGCAGUGGGGAAUAUUGCACAAUGGGCGGAAGCCUGAUGCAGCAACGCCGCGUGCGGGAUGACGGCCUUCGGGUUGUAAACCGCUUUCGCCUGUGACGAAGCGUGAGUGACGGUAAUGGGUGAAGAAGCACCGGCUAACUACGUGCCAGCAGCCGCGGUGAUACGUAGGGUGCGAGCGUUGUCCGGAUUUAUUGGGCGUAAAGGGCUCGUAGGUGGUUGAUCGCGUCGGAAGUGUAAUCUUGGGGCUUAACCCUGAGCGUGCUUUCGAUACGGGUUGACUUGAGGAAGGUAGGGGAGAAUGGGAUUCCUGGUGGAGCGGUGGAGUGCGCAGAUAUCAGGAGGAACACCAGUGGCGAAGGCGGUUCUCUGGGCCUUUCCUGACGCUGAGGAGCGAAAGCGUGGGGAGCGAACAGGCUUAGAUACCCUGGUAGUCCACGCUGUAAACGGUGGGUACUAGGUGUGGGGUCCAUUCCACGGGUUCCGUGCCGUAGCUAACGCUUUAAGUACCCCGCCUGGGGGGUACGGCCGCAAGGCUAAAACUCAAAGGAAUUGACGGGGCCCCGCACAAGCGGCGGAGCAUGCGGAUUAAUUCGAUGCAACGCGUAGAACCUUACCUGGGUUUGACAUGGAUCGGGAGUGCUCAGAGAUGGGUGUGCCUCUUUUGGGGUCGGUUCACAGGUGGUGCAUGGCUGUCGUCAGCUCGUGUCGUGAGAUGUUGGGUUAAGUCCCGCAACGAGCGCAACCCUUGUUCACUGUUGCCAGCACGUUAUGGUGGGGACUCAGUGGAGACCGCCGGGGUCAACUCGGAGGAAGGUGGGGAUGACGUCAAGUCAUCAUGCCCCUUAUGUCCAGGGCUUCACGCAUGCUACAAUGGCUGGUACAGAGAGUGGCGAGCCUGUGAGGGUGAGCGAAUCUCGGAAAGCCGGUCUCAGUUCGGAUUGGGGUCUGCAACUCGACCUCAUGAAGUCGGAGUCGCUAGUAAUCGCAGAUCAGCAACGCUGCGGUGAAUACGUUCCCGGG
RNAcentral lists this ribosomal RNA (1343 nucleotides) under uncultured bacterium. Its description in RNAcentral is "16S ribosomal RNA". It matches the Rfam family "Bacterial small subunit ribosomal RNA", at positions 28 to 1378 of the family's 1533-position model. The record is from RNAcentral.